CACAUGCGCAGCAGCUCCCGCUGCUGAAUAGCUGAGAGGCGCACCUGGGCGGCCAGCUGGGCUCGGAGUACAGCGGGGUCAGGGUGGACGAGGACGUGUUGCACCCUCAAGAGCCUCAUCAUCGGCGAGAGUGGGGUGGGCAAGUCCAGCCUGCUCUUGAGGUUCACAGAUGAUACCUUUGAUCCAGAACUUGCAGCAACAAUAGGUUCACCUGCUUCCAGGCGGGCAGGGCGUUGUAUUCAUCCCUCGUCAUGUCUAGUGCAAACUGGAAACAUUGGGAGAAGCGCCCCGCGGCUCAGAGAAAGGAGCCAGGUGUGCGUGUGUUGUCUUACUCCCAUCCCCACCCCACCGGAAGAACUGCUUACCUCGAAGUCUUCGUCAGUGAGAUAGAUCUCAAGCUUCAGAGGAUCGACCCCCUCCGGGAGUGGCCUGGCCAGGAGGUCGGCCAGCGGGCCUGCACAACAGUAAAUGGCCCCGCUGCUAACCCCCAAGAUCUAUAGUGAAUACACAGGGAGGAUGGUGAGUUAUAUCCUUCUGAAAGUGGCUCAACUGUGCCACAGAACUGAUGUUUAUGAUUUCUUUGGAAUAAAGAUCAAAAUUAACUCCUAUUCUUGAAAUUCGAGAAAGUUAUAUUUGUCUUAUCUGAGUUCCUUUCUCAGGAAACCAACCACCAGGCAUCUCCGAUAGUAUCAAAAAGCCAGCAGUGGCUCAUGCUUGUAAUCCCAGCACUUUGAGAGGCUGAGGUGGGCAGAUAGCUUGAGCCUCGGGAGUUCAAAACCAGACUGAGAGACAUGGCAAAACCUCAUUGAAAAUACAAAACAAAUUAGCCAGGCAUUAUGGUGUGUGCUUGUAGUCCCAGCUAUCUGGGAGGCUGAUGUGGGAGGAUUGUCUGAGCCCAGGAGCUGGAGGUUGCAGUGAGCUGUGAUUACACCACCGCACUCUAGCCUGGGCAACAGAGCAAGACCUGUCUCAAAAAACAAAAACAAAACCUGAAGCUUACCAGGCCCCUUACCCAUCAUGAUGCCUAACCAACCCCCUGCUUCCUGUUGACCAGCUCCUCUUCCUCACCCCUCCCUAAUUCCAGUUUCCCACACAUGGUUACAUUUCUUCCCUGCUAUAAAAACCCCUAAUUUUAGUAGACCAGAGACACAGAUUUGAGACUUAUGUCCUGUUCCCCUUGGCUGUAGCACCCAAAUAAACUUUCUUCCUUGGCUGUGCUUGUCUCAGUGAUUGGCUUUUUUCUGUGUAGUGAGCAAUAAGCCCCAGACUGAACCCCUGGCAAUUUGGUAACACCUGAACUUAGACUGCAUGCAGCGGCCACAGAGCUUGUAAUCCCUAGAGCCUUCUGGUCUAACGAAACCAUAGUUACAGUGAACAGAACCAUCUUAUUCUGGCUGCGGCAGAGACCAAGCUGAAGUCAGCCCCUUCCCUGUGUACAUCAAGUCCAUUUGGCUCUAGGGAGACAGGUUAGGGUGAGCAGUGAUGUCUGUACUACCCAACAGCCCCUCUCCAUUGCUAAGCAGAAGUAGAUUCUGUUUGUUUAAAAUUACUCGAAUUUCCUAUAAAAUACACUUGGGUCAUUUCCCCAAGCAAAGCAGCUCUCCUACAUAGUAAAAAAAAUCAAAACGGUAAAAAACCUAUCUCUCACCAAAUCAAAACAAAUCCUUGGAUUUGCUAUCGCUAGCAAUGUUAAUAGCUCAUAUAUAAGAAAUUCAACAUAGCUAUAGUAAAAUUCUUUCCUGUGUGGUUGGAAAAGAAAACAUUCUAGAUUAUAAUAUAUUUUGGUAGAUAGAAGUUAUGAUAAAUGCCUCAUGCAGAAAUACCAGGUGGUCUCAUAAAAGACAAUAUUAAUGAGAUGUUGAGCGAUCCCUUAUCAUAAGGGAGUCGCGGCACCUCCAUUCAUUCAGUUUUCUGAACGUACUAAUUCAUCAGAUUUCGUUUGUGUCUCCUCUACACAAGGUUAACGUCUGAAACAUGAGGGUUUGGCUGUGUGUCACAUGGACACUGAGAGACAAGCAAUGCCAAGCAACAGGUUCUUAGCAAACAGAAUGAAGAGUUCGCAGCUUUUAUGUACAUAUAUAGUUCUCAGCAUGAUUAAACUCACCUUUGCUUUUAAGUUUUUAAAAUUUGGGUAUCAUGUGUGGAAAAUUACUAAAAUAGCUAAUUGAUUUUCCAUUAGACUUCUCUUCUUCCUAAGCAAAUUCUAUGUAGAUUUGUUAAGAUGUUGCAAAAGGAAAAAUAUUUUCCCACUCUGAAAGUGCAAUUGGAUGCUCUCCCCAAAGUCAAGUCAACCCACAAUCCAAAAGGUGCAGGAGCCACCUUCACAGGGCAGGAAAGCGCGCUCACCAUCUCUGUGAUCUCAGCGACGUCCUCUCUGUGCUCCCAGCUGGGGAACAUAUUGGUGAAUGUCAGCGGCUCCAGACCAGCGUGGAUAAGGCGCAUUAGAGGGAGCCUCACCUUUGCAGUACUGGAGCACAGUCUCCAUCGCGCUCUUCCGGUCAGAGGCCCAGCGGAUGCGGGCAGAACCAGUGAUCUUGUUCUCGAUGGGCCACCAGCCUUGCCAGAGCUCAAGCCCCUGGCCCUUCUGGAUACUGGCAGGGCUGUGCUAAGAGUGGAAGGGAUAAUGCAUGUGCCACUCAAGGGACUGUUAGCACCACGUAUCUCCGAAGAGCACAGUCAACACUGGAGCACACAUCUCACUGCAGACAGCAAUGGCAGUCGACCGGUGACCAUGCAGCAACAAGACUGAGAGGAAGGCUGAGAGAAGAGCAGAGAUGCCAAGCCUGCCACUGUGGUGCUCAACCUGUUCUUAGCUGACGUCUUUGGAACAUGAACUUCAUGAGGACAGAGACUUGGGCUUAUUCACCACCACGUCCCCAGUUCCUAACUCCAGUUCUUUGGAGUUGUUAGAAGCAGGUUGCCCAAAGUUCAUGAUGCAGAAAAACCAUUUUUCUGAGAUUUAUAGGAUAAGUCCUGUAAGUCCAGAUUGCUUGGCGCCAAUCAGGUGCUCAAUAAAUGUUUGUUGAGUGAAUACGUGAA
Long non-coding RNA from Pongo pygmaeus (Bornean orangutan), 3039 nucleotides. RefSeq lists it as uncharacterized. The transcript has 8 exons. The record is from RefSeq and is a predicted model, not a curated record. Lineage: Eukaryota; Metazoa; Chordata; Mammalia; Primates; Hominidae.